GGGGGGGGGGGGGGGGGGGGGGAGGGGGGGGGGGGGGGGGGGGGGGAGGGAGCUGGCGCCGGGGUUGAGCGGCGGACGAGUGAGGACUGCCUAGGAAUCGGCCGGGUGGUGGGGGAUAACGUCCGGAAACGGGCGCUAAUACCGCAUACGGCCGGAGGGAGACAGUGGGGGAUCUUCGGACCUCACGCUAUCAGAUGAGUCUAGGUCGGAUUCGCUAGUUGGUGGGGUAAAGGCCUACCAAGGCGACGAUCCGUAACUGGUCUGAGAGGAUGAUCAGUCACACUGGAACUGAGACACGGUCCAGACUCCUACGGGAGGCAGCAGUGGGGAAUAUUGGACAAUGGGCGAAAGCCUGAUCCAGCCAUGCCGCGUGUGUGAAGAAGGUCUUCGGAUUGUAAAGCACUUUAAGUUGGGAAGAAGGGCAGUAAGUUAAUACCUUGCUGUUUUGACGUUACCAACAGAAUAAGCACCGGCUAACUUCGUG
Molecule: ribosomal RNA, 484 nt
Filed under: uncultured bacterium
Lineage: Bacteria
Description: partial 16S ribosomal RNA
Rfam family: Bacterial small subunit ribosomal RNA (bases 52-484)
Source: RNAcentral